CCCUCGUAGUGGAGGGACUCCUCGAAGUGGUGGCCGUCCUCAUCCCAGCCCUCGGUGACCCGCAGCUUGACACCGGGCCAUUGGUUCAUCACUGAGAUUGCCAGCGAGUUCAGCUUGUCUUUGCACCGCUGCGGACAAGACAAAGUUUCGGCACCCGGCACGUGAUCAUCUCGGGCCGGGUGAAGAUCCAAAGCCACUUUCAAGCGACCCCACUGUUGCGACUCCCCCUGCUAUCACAUCAAAGCCAAAAGAACGAAGAUGGCUCCAUCAGAAGAUCAAAUCAAUUUGCUACUCUGAAGUGGACGAGAAGGAUGGUCGUAACGCCACAAAAUUUUAUACAAACUCUGAGACGUGAGACUUGGCAAGUCCAUAUUUCUGACAUGCUCCAGUGAAGCGGAACCAACUGGAGACAUUUGAGGGCGGACCAGCUGACUCCAAAGUAAGAAUUCCAAAGCAAGCAGUAGGAUGGUGAUCAACUCAGUGGCCCUUCAGGAUCACAUCACCAGGAAUUUUCUUGAACCUGAUUUGUUGCUUUCGGACCCGCUGCUGACAUUCAAAAGCAAAGGCCACGCAAAGGAGAGAGCGAUUCGAAGCGAUGUUCCUCCGAGCCUCGGAGAAGAGCGAGAAUAUGUGCUUGAUCCCGUGCCGCUGCCUCCGACGUUAGCUCAGAGGAUGGGCUUGGUGGCGUUGCCCCCAGAGAGGCUGAGCGAAGAUGAGUGGACUCUAGUGAAAGCCAGAUCGGUCCAGCAACGGGAAUCCGAGCAGCCUUGCGCAAUAUGCAGGGAGGCAUUCUGCCUUAAACCUCAGGUGUUACUGUCGUGCUCACACGUCUUCCACAAAGCAUGUCUGCAGGCCUUUGAGAGGUUCUCCGGCCGCAAGUGCUGCCCCAUGUGCCGCCGGGAGCCGUACGAAACACGAAUCAUCCACGACGCCGCGCGCCUAUUCCGAAACCACUGUGCUGUCAGAAUUCAAGCAUUCUGGCGAGGUUACGUGGCCCGGAAGUGGUACGGGAGUAUUCGGAGGACCGUCUGCCCGAAAGACAAGCGGCUCCGGCGCAAAUUCCUGGAAGCCAAGCUGCAGGAGCUGAGCGACGACUUCGUGCGACGCUGUCACACCGACGCCGAAGCUUUUCUCAGCGAUAUCGACCGCUCGCUGUCAUCGAGUCGCCGAGUAUUUCGCCUGCUGGAGAGAAAAAAGAACGUCGCCGAGCCUCGGGAGGACGACUGGCGGCGCAUACAGAGUCAGGUGACCCAGCGGGGGGCCGGCGACUGCCCCAUCUGCCUGACAGCGCUGUAUGACCCGGGAGCGACACCUGGGUCCCCUGGCUUCAAGCUCCAUCAACGAGGAAGACGCUCGGUGCUCCUGUCCUGCUCCCACCUCUUCCAUCAGGUCUGCCUGGAUGCCUUUGAGGCCUUCGUAGCGGACCGCAGCCCCGCGUGCCCCCUCUGCAGGUCCAGCUACCACAAGAAGCUCAUCUGAAGCAGUUUGCAUUAGCCACCCCGCUGGAGAGCCACGCCGUCUAAACGCGGCAAGAUAGAUGGGCGCCGGCGCAGACAUGUCAGCUCGGCGGGCCAGGCGCACCGUAACAAGAUCCGGCGAAGCCCUCCGACUCCAGGAAGAAAUAGGCGAAGGGCAUCAGGACAAAAAGGCAAAGGUUGGAAAAGAGGGAGACCAGAUUCCACAGACCUGGAGAAAGUAAAGUACAGCAUUGGGC
This is an RNA transcript of Hippocampus zosterae (dwarf seahorse), 1714 nucleotides long. It is a transcript of the gene named ring finger protein 32, with no coding region annotated. The record is from RefSeq and is a predicted model, not a curated record. The transcript has 12 exons. NCBI's taxonomy places the organism in Eukaryota, Metazoa, Chordata, Actinopteri, Syngnathiformes, Syngnathidae.